GGGCCCGCACAAGCGGUGGAGCAUGUGGUUUAAUUCGAUGCAACGCGAAGAACCUUACCUGGUCUUGACAUACACAGAAUCUUGUAGAGAUACGAGAGUGCCUUCGGGAAUUGUGAUACAGGUGCUGCAUGGCUGUCGUCAGCUCGUGUCGUGAGAUGUUGGGUUAAGUCCCGCAACGAGCGCAACCCUUGUCCUUAGUUACCAGCGGGUUAAGCCGGGAACUCUAAAGAGACUGCCGGUGAUAAGCCGGAGGAAGGUGGGGACGACGUCAAGUCAUCAUGGCCCUUACGACCAGGGCUACACACGUGCUACAAUGGUAGGUACAGAGGGCAGCUACACAGCGAUGUGAUGCGAAUCUCAAAAAGCCUAUCGUAGUCCAGAUUGGAGUCUGCAACUCGACUCCAUGAAGUAGGAAUCGCUAGUAAUCG
RNAcentral lists this ribosomal RNA (428 nucleotides) under uncultured bacterium. Its description in RNAcentral is "bacterial SSU rRNA". It matches the Rfam family "Bacterial small subunit ribosomal RNA", at positions 917 to 1344 of the family's 1533-position model. The record is from RNAcentral.